AGUGAACGCUGGCGGUAGGCCUAACACAUGCAAGUCGAACGGCAGCACAGUAAGAGCUUGCUCUUACGGGUGGCGAGUGGCGGACGGGUGAGGAAUACAUCGGAAUCUACUUUUUCGUGGGGGAUAACGUAGGGAAACUUACGCUAAUACCGCAUACGACCUACGGGUGAAAGCAGGGGAUCUUCGGACCUUGCGCGAUUGAAUGAGCCGAUGUCGGAUUGGCUGGUUGGCGGGGCAAAGGCCCACCAAGGCGACGAUCCGUAGCUGGUCUGAGAGGAUGAUCAGCCACACUGGAACUGAGACACGGUCCAGACUCCUACGGGAGGCAGCAGUGGGGAAUAUUGGACAAUGGGCGCAAGCCUGAUCCAGCCAUACCGCGUGGGUGAAGAAGGCCUUCGGGUUGUAAAGCCCUUUUGUUGGGAAAGAAAAGCAGCAGGUUAAUACCCCGCUGUUCUGACGGUACCCAAAGAAUAAGCACCGGCUAACUUCGUG
This 492-nucleotide ribosomal RNA is filed under the name uncultured bacterium. RNAcentral describes it as "partial 16S ribosomal RNA". It matches the Rfam family "Bacterial small subunit ribosomal RNA", at positions 29 to 507 of the family's 1533-position model. The record is from RNAcentral.